AGGUUACCAGUUCGGUUUUUCAUUGGAGGUUUUUAGAAGAUCAAGGGAAUUAGAGAGAGGAGCUUCAUGCUUCGGGUCGGGGAAGGAAAGACAUAGAAUUUGGAUUUUUCUUCUUCGUAGAGUUUUGGAAAGACUGAGGCAAUUGCUGCUGAAGUCAGUGUUGUAAUGGUGAAUCGGGAUUUUUAAAUGAAGUGGGUUUGAAUACUCUUGACUGUUUUGUAAAAUCGAGUUACAUCUGUGAUUG
This 244-nucleotide long non-coding RNA is filed under the name Physcomitrium patens. RNAcentral describes it as "long non-coding RNA (PPAT_LNC013925)". Lineage: Eukaryota; Viridiplantae; Streptophyta; Bryopsida; Funariales; Funariaceae. The record is from RNAcentral.